GAUGAACGCUGGCGGCGUGCCUAAUACAUGCAAGUCGAACGCACAGCGAAAGGUGCUUGCACCUUUCAAGUGAGUGGCGAACGGGUGAGUAACACGUGGACAACCUGCCUCAAGGCUGGGGCUAACAUUUGGAAACAGAUGCUAAUACCGAAUAAAACUCAGUGUCGCAUGACACAAUGUUAAAAGGCGCUUUGGCGUCACCUAGAGAUGGAUCCGCGGUGCAUUAGUUAGUUGGUGGGGUAAAGGCCUACCAAGACAAUGAUGCAUAGCCGAGUUGAGAGACUGAUCGGCCACAUUGGGACUGAGACACGGCCCAAACUCCUACGGGAGGCUGCAGUAGGGAAUCUUCCACAAUGGGCGAAAGCCUGAUGGAGCAACGCCGCGUGUGUGAUGAAGGCUUUCGGGUCGUAAAGCACUGUUGUAUGGGAAGAACAGCUAGAAUAGGGAAUGAUUUUAGUUUGACGGUACCAUACCAGAAAGGGACGGCUAAAUACGUGCCAGCAGCCGCCGUAA
RNAcentral lists this ribosomal RNA (513 nucleotides) under uncultured bacterium. RNAcentral's name for it is "partial 16S ribosomal RNA". It matches the Rfam family "Bacterial small subunit ribosomal RNA", at positions 28 to 523 of the family's 1533-position model. The record is from RNAcentral.